RNAcentral lists this unclassified non-coding RNA (267 nucleotides) under fungal sp. RNAcentral's name for it is "partial internal transcribed spacer region". The stretch from base 1 to 46 matches the Rfam family "Eukaryotic small subunit ribosomal RNA", at positions 1786 to 1831 of the family's 1831-position model. The record is from RNAcentral. Lineage: Eukaryota; Fungi.
AAGUCGUAACAAGGUCUCCGUAGGUGAACCUGCGGAGGGAUCAUUAACACGUGUAAAAACGUAUACAAUAACCCUACCUAACAACCAAUACCGUGAACUAUGUUAUUUAAACUAUUUUUGUUUUUUUUUAAACCCUUUUCCAACUUUAUUAUUUUUUUGAACUUCGUUUUUUUAUUCUUUUUUGUUACAAGCAAUGGAGAAUAGAUAAAUGCAAAUAUAUAAAAAAAUACAAAAGCACAACUCUUAGCAACGGAUAUCUUGGUUCUC